GGGUCUUACCUUCUGGUGAGCUGUCGUAUUGUUUACUCAGUGCGGCAGGGAACCAGGACUUUUACUUUGAAAAAAUUAGAGUGUUUAAAGCAGGCAUUCGCUUGAAUACAUUAGCAUGGAAUAAUAGAAUAGGACUUUGGUUCUAUUUUGUUGGUUUCUAGGACCGAAGUAAUGAUUAAUAGGGAUAGUUGGGGGCAUUAGUAUUUAAUUGCCAGAGGUGAAAUUCUUGGAUUUAUUAAAGACUAACUUCUGCGAAAGCAUUUGCCAAGGAUGUUUUCAUUAAUCAAGAACGACAAGUUAGGGGAUCGAAGACGAUCAGAUACCGUCGUAGUCUUAACCAUAAACUAUGCCGACUAGGGAUCAGGCAAGGCAUAUUUUGCACUUGUUUGGCACCUUAUGAGAAAUCAAAGUUUUUGGGUUCCGGGGGGAGUAUGGUCGCAAGGCUGAAACUUAAAGG
Molecule: ribosomal RNA, 457 nt
Filed under: uncultured eukaryote
Lineage: Eukaryota
Description: SSU rRNA
Rfam family: Eukaryotic small subunit ribosomal RNA
Source: RNAcentral